AGUCUUGGCUGAGUGGUUAAAGCGUGUGCCUGCUAAGCAUAUAGAUAAUUAUCUGCGUGAGUUCGAAUCUCACAGACU
This 78-nucleotide transfer RNA is filed under the name Bigelowiella natans. It matches the Rfam family "tRNA". Rfam says of the family: Transfer RNA (tRNA) molecules are approximately 80 nucleotides in length. Their secondary structure includes four short double-helical elements and three loops (D, anti-codon, and T loops). Lineage: Eukaryota; Cercozoa; Chlorarachniophyceae. The record is from RNAcentral. RNAcentral also lists the same sequence under 1 other name.